GUAGGGAAUAUUGGACAAUGGGCGAAAGCCUGAUCCAGCCAUGCCGCGUGAUAGAUGAAGGCCCUCUGGGUUGUAAAUAUCUUUUAUCUGGGAAGAAACUCCUCUAUUCUUAGAGGCCUGACGGUACCAGAGGAAUAAGCACCGGCUAACUCCGUGCCAGCAGCCGCGGUAAUACGGAGGGUGCAAGCGUUAUCCGGAUUCACUGGGUUUAAAGGGUGCGUAGGCGGGUUGAUAAGUCAGUGGUGAAAGCUCCGAGCUUAACUUGGAAACUGCCAUUGAUACUGUCAGUCUUGAAUGUCGUAGAGGUAAGCGGAAUGUUGCAUGUAGCGGUGAAAUGCUUAGAUAUGUUACAGAACACCAAUUGCGAAGGCAGCUUACUAUGCGAUAAUUGACGCUGAGGCACGAAAGCGUGGGGAGCAAACAGGAUUAGAAACCCUUGUAGUCC
Molecule: ribosomal RNA, 445 nt
Filed under: uncultured bacterium
Lineage: Bacteria
Description: partial 16S ribosomal RNA
Rfam family: Bacterial small subunit ribosomal RNA
Source: RNAcentral